GACCACCAUAGCUGCAACAGCCGCAUUGAUCAUAGACUGGCUUGCGGUAGUGGCACAAGGUGGUUAAAUGGCACACCGAACAGACAAUAAGCCUGUGAGAGAAGGGCAGCCCGUUAAGGUAUACUAUGAUGUGAACCACAAUCAUGCAGCAUAUACCCAAAAUCCACACACAAGGUGUAGGUAAGGGGCUCACCGAAUAAGAAAACAUUAAUUAAACACUAACUAAAGACAAGUUGGAAAAACAGACAGAGGCUGUAAGAACAGGCUACAAUAGGCUGACCAGUGAUCUAGCCCAGUACAGAAAGGGAAAAGCACUAAAAAGACCACAAAGGAACAAACCUCCUCAAACAACACUGUAUAGGAACAGGGGAAACAGGGGAGAAAGCUAAAGCAAUGAUCAAGUACAGAACUAAAUCUUAAAGUAAUGCAAAACAUCAGCAACAAUAGCAUAACAAAGAAGAGCCAAAAACUCUGACCUAUUCCUAGCCUAUUGAGCAGCAAAGAAAGAGACUGCUUAAUCUCAUA
Non-coding RNA from Pelobates cultripes (western spadefoot toad), 525 nucleotides. Lineage: Eukaryota; Metazoa; Chordata; Amphibia; Anura; Pelobatidae. The record is from the annotation of a GenBank genome assembly.